Long non-coding RNA from Carassius gibelio (silver crucian carp), 4126 nucleotides. RefSeq lists it as uncharacterized. The record is from RefSeq and is a predicted model, not a curated record. The transcript is spliced from 6 exons. Lineage: Eukaryota; Metazoa; Chordata; Actinopteri; Cypriniformes; Cyprinidae.
AGAAUGCACCCCACGUGGGGGAUUGUUUACUUAUAAGCCAAUCAGCGAACGACUCACUUUCCUCAGCGAAUGAUUCACUUUCCUCAAGCAGCGAACGACUCACUUUCCUCAGCAAACGACUCAGUUACCUGACGCAGCCGGCGACCCACUUUGCGCAGCCGGACACCCACUUUGCGCAGCAGGAGACUCACUUUCCGCAGCCGGAGAGUCACUUUCCUCUCGCAGCGAAUGACUCACUUUCCUCAUCGAACGAUUCACUUUCCUCACGAGUCACGCAGCGAACGACUCACUUUCCUCUUCGAACGAUUCACUUUCCUCACGAGUCACGCAGCGAACGACUCACUUUCCUCAGCGAACAAUUCACUUUCCUCACGAGUCAUGCAGCGAACGACUCACUUUCCUCAUCGAACGAUUCACUUUCCUCACGAGUCACGCAGCGAACGACUCACUUUCCUCUUCGAACGAUUCACUUUCCUCACGAGUCACGCAGCGAACGACUCACUUUCCUCAGCGAACGAUUCACUUUCCUCACGAGUCACGCAGCGAACGACUCACUUUCCUCAUCGAACGAUUCACUUUCCUCACGAGUCACGCAGCGAACGAUUCACUUUCCUCUUCGAACGAUUCACUUUCCUCACGAGUCACGCAGCGAACGACUCACUUUCCUCAGCGAACGAUUCACUUUCCUCACGCAGCGAAGUUGAGCGAACGAUUCACUUUCCUCACAAAGCAAUCAACUCACUUUCCUAAGCGAACGACUCACUUUCCUCACGCAGCUGGAGACCCAUUUUGCGCAGCCGGAGAGUCACUUUCCUCUCUCAGCGGACCAAUGACUCUCUCUUCAUGUAGGGACCGAAUAUUGUAAUUAAUGUGACUUCUAUAUUGCAUCCAAAAUAAUAUUUAGAUAUAUUUAAAUAUUCAAAAAGGUGUCAAUUUUUUUUUUUACUUUCAUUAAAAUAUUUCAAUAAAAUGAAAUAAUUGCCUAUUGCAAAUUUAUGAAUCCAUGGUUAACUUUUUUUCUGCAGUCACUGGGCUAUAUGUAUUGAGACAUUUUUUAAUUUAUGUUUUGUAAAAAAAAACAAAAAACAAAACCUGAAUUGUAAUCUAAACAUCUGUAUUUUCAUACAAUUGCAUAAAUAAGUAGGCUAUAAUAUACUGCACCACAGGCAUAUCGCGCUGUGUAAACGCGUUCAUGUGAUUGGCUUAUAAGUAAAUAAUCCCCCACGUGGAGUGCGUUCUUGUGAUUGGCUAAAACAAGGUAGAUAUCUGAUUGGUUGCUGAUAAUUCCCUGUUUAAAAAAAUGCAGUGAAGUUCACAGACCGCAAGCAGUUUGUAAAUCAAGAUAUAUGUGUGUGUUCAACAGAAAUAAAUUUCUGAAUCUUGUCCUGUGCAUUUGUGAAUCUUGAGUGCAUUUGUAAAUGUUGUUUGCAUUUCUGAAUUGUGUGUGUAUUUCUGAAUGUUGUGUGCAUUUCUGAAUUUUGUAUGCAUUUGUGAAUCUUCUGUGCUUUUUAAAUUUUGUGUGUGCAUUUGUGAAUUUUGUGCACAUUUGUGUAUCCUGUGUGUGUAUUUAGGAAUCAUGUGUGUGCAUGUAUGAAUCCUAUGUGUGCAUAUGUGAAUGUAGUCUGUGCAUUUAUCUUUAUUGACACUCUUUUGGCUCCAUACAUUAUUGCUGUUACUGUAUUUUGGGUGCGUUGUUGCAAAAGUUAAUUGUAAACUUUUCAUGAUUAUGAGGUUUUUAACUGACUAAAGUUAUGAUUACUGACUUUAUAUAUUUGAAUGUUUGAUAGAUUUGAUGCCAUAACGUCAUUUCCAAUGAGGUCAUUACGUUGAGUGUAAAAGAACCGCUGAACCGUUUUUUUUUUCAACCAGUUUAUUGAAUCGAAUCGUCCGAAAGAACCGGUUCGCGGAAAAGAAAAGAACUUCCCAUAUGACUCGCUGAAAGUUAUAAUCACCCCGGAGUGAAUGUAUUAAAUAUAGAAAAUAUUAAACUGCUAUUUUUGUCGUUUGGAAGCUGCAUUUAAAGUCCAUUUGGCAUAACAAUCUGAAAGGACACUUGCCUAGCUUUGAAUUGGCAUGAAGCCUCUGACGGUAGUACCCACCCAGCACCAGACAUCAUUUAGACGUCGUUUUCUGGUCUAAAUCAAGUCGGCUCGUUUUGUAAAGGUGAAAAGGAAUCAAUUUUUCCACUUAUUUUUUCAUUGUAUACAUAAAAAAUAUUUUGGAUUGAUAUGGAGUUUUUUAUUAAGGAAAUAUUGGAAAUUUCUUUGCAGCUGAGUGGAUAUGAUGUAAUAAUAUACUUCAGUGUUCAUGGAGUUGGCAAAGAUGAAGCAUAUCUCAUACAAUUGUUAAUUUUAAGUUUCAUAUCCAUAAAAUGAAGUGGUCAGGCUCCAAACCAAACUUUUCUCAUUUUCUAAAUGAUUUCAAACUGUAUUGUAAGAUUCUAUGUAAUUGUACAAGUAAAAAAGCUAUUCGAACUUAUAAUAUUGUAAACAGGUAUGCUAUUGUAUAAAGUGACACCCCAAAAAUAUUGAUUGAUUUAUUUAAAAAAAAAUGUUUAUGGUUGUUAUUGUCCAUAUUGUUCAUAUUUUUUCCUUCUCAUUUUAAUGUUUCUCGUUUUAUUGUUUUGAUGUAUGACAUAAUAAAAAAUAAAAAAAUCAAGUCGGCCCGUCAUGGCCAUCUUUUAGACCAAAAAGCGACGUUGAAAAUUGGUCUUCAUUUGGUCCAUCGGAUUUGGUCCAAAUUAAGCCCAAAAAGCGACAUUUAACGUCUUUUUUUUGUUUGUUUAUUUAGCCCAAAAAUAGAUGUAGAUGGGCUUUAGUCCAAAUUUAGCAGAAAAAAAACUUUUAUUUCGCACCACAAAGUCAUUAACAUAAACUAAUGGAGAAAUAUAUUAGACAUCAUGUCUGAAGCACUGUUAAAUAUAUUUAAAUAUAUUUUGAAAAACACUUGAUGGUCACGCGCUGAACUGCAGAGGAGGAAGUCAUCAUGGAAACGGGGCUCAGCUCAACCUUCAAGCAGCUGCAGACGCUGUCUCUCGUGGUUGUUUUCACUAAUUUCAGAAAUGGUCAGUGUCUUCAGAAAAAGUCCGUUAGCAUCUCAACUGUAAUGCUAACUACAAGAGAUUCUUCCAUGCUGAUGCCCGUGCGUGUAUCCAGCUGAAGAACAUCUUUAGACAUUAUCAAACAUAUGACUAACAUUAAGACUGAAAAUCAUUGAUAAACCACAAGCUCCAACCCCAGUUAAGCAGACCUGAGCAGCCGAUCAAGGAUCAGCAGAAACUCUGCAGAACGGUGGUCCUCCAGCCCAGGACUGGACACCAGUGUUAUGCUGCAGAAAAAACAGCGAGGCUAAAGCAUUCAAAGUGGAAACAUCUGCCGUGGCUCAUUAAUCCAGAAUUGGGACGGAGGAAAGAGCAGAAGAAGCAGAAGAUCAGAGAUCAGGCAGAGAUCUACUGGUGUCCCUGUGGGAAACCAUUUACCAAACGUGUUCGUUAAACCAAAGAUUUUCAUCACUCACCUUUAUGUUGUUCCAAGCCAGACUUUUGUUCAUCUUUGAAACAUAAAUGCAGAACUUUUUAAUGAAAUCGGAGAUUUUUUUUUUAUAUAAAAUAACGCAUUCACACAAGCACCAUGAUGCAUCAGUGUUGCAUUGGCGUGAGAGCUGGUGCUUUUUGGUGCUUUUGUCAAAAUCCAUUGGGGAUUCAUAAUUCCUGAAUAGAUUAUUUUUGCUGUUGUUGUUUUUUGCGUACACAAGGCAUCUGUUAAAAAAAUAUCUUAAUUUGUGUUCUGCAACAUGGUUUGGGGCAACAUGAGGGUAAGGAAAUAAUGACAGAAUUUACAUUUUUGGUUGUUCUAAUGUGGUUAUAAUUGGUCAUAGUUUAUUGUCUUGAAAAAUGAUAUUAAUACAGAAAGAUGGAUUAAUUUGAUAAGUUUAUAGUAAAGACUUUUAAAUCUAAAUAAAUACUACUCUUUUGCAAGGUCAAUUUAAAAAUACUGACAAAUGUAAUGGUUUCCACAAAAUAUUGGGCAGCACAACUAUUUUAACAUUGAUAAUAAUCAGAAAUGUUUCUUGAGCAGUAAAUCAGUAUAUUAUAAUGAUUUCUGAAGAUCAUGUAACACUGAAGACU